This 335-nucleotide ribosomal RNA is filed under the name uncultured bacterium. RNAcentral's name for it is "partial 16S ribosomal RNA". It matches the Rfam family "Bacterial small subunit ribosomal RNA", at positions 338 to 666 of the family's 1533-position model. The record is from RNAcentral.
CCUACGGGAGGCAGCAGUCGGGAAUCUUCCGCAAUGGGCGAAAGCCUGACGGUGCAACGCCGCGUGAUCGAAUGAAGGCCUUCGGGUUGUAAAGAUCUGUUGACAGGGACGAAUAAGCAAUGAGAAUAGUUUUGUGUAUGACGGUACCUGUUUAGAAAGCUCCGGCUAACUACGUACCAGCAGCCGCGGCAAUACGUAGGGAGCAAGCGUUGUCCGGAAUUACUGGGCGUAACGGGGGCGUAGGUGGGCGCUUACGUCAGGUGUGAACACGGCGGGCUCAACCUGGCGACGGCACAUGAAACUGGGUGGCUUGAGGGCAGGAGAGGAAAGUGGAA